UACGUAGGUGGCUAGCGUUGUCCGGAUUUACUGGGCGUAAAGAGCGCGCAGGCGGUCGUUCAAGUCGAGUGUGAAAGCCCCCGGCUCAACUGGGGAGGGUCACUCGAUACUGAUCGACUCGAAGGCAGGAGAGGGAAGCGGAAUUCCCGGUGUAGUGGUGAAAUGCGUAGAUAUCUGGAGGAACACCGGUGGCGAAGGCGGCAUUCUGGACCAUAACUGACACUGAGAGACGAAAGCCAGGGGAGCAAACGGG
Molecule: ribosomal RNA, 253 nt
Filed under: uncultured bacterium
Lineage: Bacteria
Description: partial 16S ribosomal RNA
Rfam family: Bacterial small subunit ribosomal RNA
Source: RNAcentral